Trematomus bernacchii (emerald rockcod) is the source of this 6652-nucleotide RNA transcript. It is a transcript of the gene named solute carrier family 20 member 2, with no coding region annotated. The record is from RefSeq and is a predicted model, not a curated record. The transcript is spliced from 11 exons. NCBI's taxonomy places the organism in Eukaryota, Metazoa, Chordata, Actinopteri, Perciformes, Nototheniidae.
AUGGAUCUAGAGCCGUAUCUGUGGAUGGUGAUCCUUGGCUUCAUCAUUGCCUUUAUUCUAGCCUUUUCUGUGGGCGCCAAUGAUGUGGCCAAUUCUUUUGGCACAGCAGUGGGGUCCGGCGUGGUCACAUUGAAGCAGGCCUGCAUCCUGGCGUCUAUCUUUGAGACCCUUGGCUCAAUGCUGCUGGGGGCCAAAGUGGGCGAGACGAUUCGGAAGGGCAUCAUAGACGUCUCCCUUUACAACGAGACGGUGCCUACACUCAUGGCAGGGGAGGUCAGCGCCAUGGUCGGGUCGGCCGUCUGGCAGCUGAUCGCCUCCUUCCUCAAACUGCCCGUCUCUGGGACUCACUGCAUUGUUGGCGCCACCAUCGGCUUCUCCAUGGUCGCCAUCGGCACCAGGGGCGUCCAGUGGAUGCAGCUUGUCAAGAUUGUGUCAUCGUGGUUCAUCUCCCCUCUGCUCUCUGGACUCAUGUCUGGACUCCUCUUCUUGCUCAUCCGACACUUCAUCCUCAAUAAGGACGACUCCGUCCCUAAUGGCCUGCGAGCGCUGCCUGUCUUCUAUGCGUCCACUAUUGGAAUCAACACUUUCUCCAUCUUGUACACUGGAGCCCCAGUGCUUGGGAUAGAGAUGCUCCCGGUGUGGUCGAUCUUUCUAAUUACUUUAGCCGGGUCGCUGAUCUGUGGAGCUGUGGUCUGGUUUUUGGUCUGUCCCUGGAUGAGGAGGAAAAUAGCGGGUCGCCUCAAGAAGGAGCAGGCUCUAGCACGGAUCUCUGAUGAGAGUCUGGACAAGAUCCCGGAAGAGGAGGAGGAGAGCCCCGUCUUUAGGGAGCUCCCAGGGGCCAAGGGCACAGACGAGGCCGUGCUGCCGCUCACCGGGGGGGGCAGUGACCGCGAGUCCAGCGGAGACCUCAACAACCUGGCUAAUGGAGGCAACAUCCUGCCAAACGGCAGGGCGUACGGCCGGACCAACUCAAUGACCAACGGCUGCCUCAAGUCCCCCAUCUCUAACGGCAGCUUCACCUUCGAUGGCCACAUGCGCAGCGAUGGCCAGGUUUACCACACAGUGCACAAGGACUCUGGUCUGUACAAAGACCUGCUCCACAAAAUCCACGUGGGCCGCAUGGACGAAAGCGACCGCUCUGGCUCCAACGCCGGCCCGGCAGACAACAACUACCGCCUGCUGCGGCGCAACAACAGCUACACCUGCUACACCGCGGCUAUCUGCGGCAUGCCAGUCCAGCCGCUCAUUCGCUCAGAGUCACGCGACGACAGCGAGAAGCUGGUGGGAGAAGGAGGCGGCAGGAGCAACAGCGUGUCCUAUACCAAGAAGAGGAUACGCUACGAUAGCUACUCGUCCUACUGCAACGCUGUGGCCGAGGCUGAGAUUGAGGCCGAGGAGUGUGGGGUGGAGAUGAAACUGGCCACAGAGCUGGAAGGAUUGGAUGAAGAUGGGGCUCCCGCUCCGGUGCCUCUGGAGGACCUGGCCGAGGAGGAGGAGAAGGACAGGCCUGAGGUGUACCUGCUUUUCCACUUCCUGCAGAUCCUCACCGCCUGCUUCGGCUCUUUUGCCCAUGGAGGCAACGAUGUCAGUAAUGCCAUCGGGCCCCUGGUGGCGCUGUGGAUGAUCUACGAUCAGGGGGGUGUGAUGCAGGAUGCUGACACCCCCCUCUGGCUGCUGUUUUACGGCGGUAUAGGCAUCUGCGCCGGCCUGUGGGUGUGGGGCCGUCGCGUCAUCCAGACCAUGGGAAAAGACCUGACUCCCAUCACCCCGUCAAGCCUCGACAUGCUGACACACACAGGUCCAUCCAGUGAAACAGCGUCCUUGCGGAUUUUGCAUUGAAGUAAUGAGUGCGCUAACAGUGCUUGUUGCAUCAAAUGUGGGCAUCCCAAUAAGCUCCACCCACUGCAAGGUGGGCUCGGUCGUGGCCGUUGGUUGGAUCCGCUCCAAGAAGGCAGUGGACUGGCGCCUCUUCAGGAACAUCUUCCUGGCGUGGUUCGUCACGGUGCCCGUGGCCGGCCUGUUCAGCGCCGCCGUCAUGGCCCUGUUCGUCUACGGCAUCCUGCCCUACGUCUGAGGGCCAGGAGGGAGAACAUGGGAGGAGCAGAGAGUCAGAGGAAGAGAUAGAGGGAACCUUGGGUAAAAUCAGAGCCCGAGUGUCAGGGGUUCAGAUAAAGGAGAAGGAAAUAAGGAGAGAGAAGCUGCAGAGGUUUACACAUGGACGUGGUUGUACUGUGGAUGUGAGGAGGGUUGGUUCAUACGCUGCCUGGCUCCGGAGAUAUGUUUUUGACUCCUAUGGGUUUCUGAUUGUUUUUAUUUAUUCUCUUCUUUUGGGUGCAUAAGAAAAAGGUGUAUUACAAACAUGUUCACUGUACCAUUCAAUCUGCUGUACAUAUGCCAUAACAGAGAAAUAUCCAGUAACUCUUAAAAAAACAAAAGAAUCACGAGUUUAAAAAGAAAAGACGGCACAAACCUUUCAAAUAAUAAUAAAAAAAGGUUAAAUCUGCCGACUUUAAACAACAUCAUGCUGCGUGCUAUCCCAGGAAGCAGAGUCGCGCUGGUGCUCAUUAUUUUUGACCCAAAAUGCCAGAAAACCCCCCUGUACAUAUUGUUGUAGUGGAGUGUGAUUUGUUGUACUUUGGCUUGCUUUAAAGUUGAAAAAGAAAACGACAAAAAGAACCAGAUGUGCGUGUGGGAAAACCAACCCCUCCAUCGUCUCACCUCUAACAUGCUAACCAGGUACAACUAGGGCCAAACGGAUAGGACGCCUCAGAGGGGGGGCGGGACUGUCACUCUGCUUUAUUUUCCACAUGAUACCACAGAAACCUGAUUCGCUAAAGAGUUGAUUUUUGUCAAGAGCUCCUGUAUGUUUUUAGAGAUGGAUCUCAUAUUUUUUAAUGAUGUAAUAUACUGUAAUUUGUACUGUAAAUACUAUCCUUAAAGAGGUCGGGAUGGGGAUCAUGGUGUGUUUUUAAACAUAGUAAGGAUGGGGGGGAUGGGGGGUGGCUCUUUACCUCUUCAUGAUGUCGUGUCCCAGAGUACACACACACUCAGUGAACACACACACACACACUCAGUGAACACACACACACACACACACACACACACUCAGUGAACACACACACACACACUCAGUGAACACACACACUUGACAAGCUGCUGUUUUUCCAUAGGUUUGCAGAAGUAUAUUGAUUGGAAAACAGUAUUACAAAUUGGAAGUAAUGAAGCCAGAACUGGAGAUAUUGUCAGUAACAGUAUUGGCAGAAAGAUCUUUAGCUAAAGGUUUGAGAAAAGGUUUAGAUGGUUAUAUCAGUGACAUUUAAAGGUCUGGGUGCCGCAGAAGCCAAAACACUAAAACUGAACCAGGAUAAAAACACUAAAAUGGUCCCACAAAAUGUUCACAUACUGUAUCUUCAUCCGUUUGCCUUUGUUUUCAUAACAUAAUUCACCUACUGGAGUCAGUGUUUUACAUUGAAGGCUCCCUGCCAAUGAUGGACCUCGACACAUGUUUCUGAUCCUGCAUCGCCGCUCAGAUUACAUUUCUUAGUCCGGGACGUGUCUCUGUAGCUCUGACCCUCGGCCUCAUGCUCCUGGGCAGCUUCGUCAUGGCAGACGGCGAUUAUGUGUCAUAUCACUUUGUAUUAUAACUCCAGCCAGUUAUGCAGAAGUGGGAAGAAAGGGGAUUUAACCCCCAGCCACACGUGUAGCUCCUCAAAAUGGGCUGGUUGUUGUUUUGAAGUGUAGAAACAUUUAGUCUAUUGAUCACCUGUGUUUCAAUCGAAGUGCUAAAGGCAAGCUAGAUAUCAUAGGCUCCAGUUUUGGGCUCAAUCGAAGCCAGAACACUAUCACAAGACUUCUGUCUUAGGAUCAUUAUGGUAUGGUAUCGGGGGGGGGGGAGGGGAUAGUACUGAUCAUCACCAGCUUUUUAACCAGGUCACCUGACCUGUAGAUAAACAAAGUUUAAAGCUUUUUUUUAUUUGAACAAACUCGAUGCCAGGUGUUGCAAGUUCUUUUUUUUGUUCUUGUGUGUUUCCUAAUUUCAUUUUUAUUUUUUUUCUCAUGAACAAAUCUAUGCUUAAGUAGCCACUUGCCUUGUAACAUUGUGUUUUACUUUGUGCAGAUACAGUGAAAUAAUUAAGUACUGUGGUGUUUACAUCGUAACCAUAUUGUAGACUAUCUGAAAAAAUAAACUGUUGCCUAAUGAUGCCAAUGAAAGACAAACUAUUAACCAUGACUUUUUAAGUGCAAGUAAAACAAAUAAAAUAACCUGAAGUGUCUAGAGAGAGAAAGAGAGAGAGCAAGUGUGCGCGUGAUGACUGUUUUUAUGUUGUUGUAGCAGUAGUGCUAAUCAUGACCCUGUCACUUUACACUGCUAAUACAAAGCAUUGACACUGCAUGUAUGGGUGCAAUUCAGUAAUGAAGAGAAUGACUAGAGACAUUUCAUCGACUAUAUAUUUUUCUACCAUAUCUGAGUUUUAACCUGGGUGAGCUUCCUGACACUGGAGGGCACACAGUGGGCUGAGGGGGAAGCGAGGACUAUUUGUUCAGAGAUCUCUGAGAAAAGAUCUUCUAACAAAUCAGUAUCCCUCCUCGCUGGUGCCAUGUGCCGCACCUCCUCUACGCCCGGUGUGUUCUUUGUAACUUUGGCGUUGUGUCGGUUGCCAAUAGAUCAGAUUUUUAAAUUACAUUUAUAUUUUUGAAUUUUAGAUGAAAACUCUUUGUAAUUGUGUUUCCCUGCUGCUUAUAAUCAUGAGCCUUGAGAGCAGCUUGAAGUCUUGCUAAAUCAGGACGACUGCUCUCCGUAGGUAAACUAAAAGCGAAAAUCUCUGUAGGCAACAGAAUAAAUCUUGUAGGCCUACUCUGUAACUGAUAACUGGACUAUGAGGACAUUUGUUUCCUUGUUUUGGCAGGUAACCACUCUUGAAGCUCAUACCCUUUCACUCUUCCACAGGGUGUGUGUUACACAGGGGGCUGCACGGAGAUGGUGUGUGUGCAAACUCUGUGCUCUGGUACAGUAGAGCUGGAGAAAGAACAUAUAACCUGUAUAAGAUCAGAGUUUACAACCAUUUCUUCAAAGUGGCCAAAGUAACUGGAAUAUUUUAUAUAUUAUGCACAUGUUAUCAUCUUAUAGAGAGCAACAGCUAAAAAACACUUGUUUUUUGCUUAUUCUAAAAUAAAUAGGCAUGUAUCACGAUUUACUUUAUAACAUUAAGAACUCCUUAUCAUUUAUCCAAGAAAAACAUUAUUCGUUAGUUACCAAGUGCACAGUUAAAGACAUGCGUUAAAGGCUAACAAAAUAUCCAUUCAUGUUUUGUUUUUAUGUUGAGAACAUUUGAUAUGAUGGAUAUAGUGUGGUCGCAGCUGGUAGAUGUGUGUUGCUCUCGUGUUCAGUUGGUACAAUAAAGGAGACUGAAUCCACUUUCCUCUGGUUGGAUUAUGAGGUUUACUGGGCUGAGGUCGGCCAGGGUUCAGAUAUUUGGUUUGUGCUGGAUCACUGCGGCCCCUUGUGUAACCUGCACUGUCAUUUUCUGUUUUGUUUUUCCAUGCAUUCACCGUCCUGAUAGGCCAAACGGGGUGCACUGCUCAAAAGAGGGGGGGGGAAGUGAAAAGAAAACCUAAUAUUAAUGGCUCAAACUCUAAAGUUUAGGAACCAUUGCUCUAUCAAUAUUAAAGCCCUAGACAAUUUGGUUUCAAAUAGUGUGUAUUUCUUUAAAACAUUAAAUACAAAUUGUAGGUAUGAAAGGUUUAGCUAAUAGUAUUUGAUUGGCAAACAUCUAACGACUUUUAUCACAUGUUGAUUCAAUGUCUCCGAUUGGGGCAUAAACCAUGUGACACCUCUAAUUUCCAAAAGAGCCUCGCCUAUUUAAAACCUUUGAGAAGAGCAAAAAAAAGUGCAGAAAUUGCUCACGUAAAGAUAACCAAAACUGUGCUUUAACAAAAUAAAUGUAGUUUCUAUAUUGGAAACAAUCAGCCGUAAAAAAAAAAGCUGAUUGAGAAAACAAGUUGUCAGGGCUCCAGAGUAAGUUGUAGAUGAAACUGCCAAUAAUUCCAAUAAUUGUGCAGGUAAAAUGAAUGAUACUAAAGUCAAUGCAGCCACUAGACACUUUCCCCCCCACAGAGAGGGACAGCAGUAUCAAUAGACGCUGCAGUGUAAUGCCAUUGAGGGAGUCACUGUGCUUCUAUUGCAUUAGUGUGACCUUCGCAGAGAAACAGCAGGCGCCAUUUCUUUCUCCCUGAACACAUGCAGUUUGUUGUGAAGCUGUAGCUCCACCUGUCCUGCUGAAAUAGCGCCCCCUCCAGGCUGUACUGACACAGUUGGAGGGGUCCUCAUCUGGAUGUGGCGUGCUGUCUCUAGUUUUCUGCUCUGUUUUGUAAUAGGAUGUGCUCCUUGGCUGGCCUGCAGGCUUUACAGCUCUGUGUUGUCUGUUUACUGUUUACUGCUAUUUAACUGUCCAGUCCUUCAAAAGUAAAAAAACGAAAAAAACAACAGUAAUGAAUAAAAAAAAUCAAGAGAAACUGUAGCCUGCUUCUACAAAAUCUUAAAGCUCUUCUGAUUUGCAUAUAUCGUACUGUAAUGUUUUAUUUAAGAUUUUAGUGGAGAAAAAAAUGUCUGCAUUUAAACUAAAUUGUGGGAAUUAAAAUUACAAAGGAAAUU